GCUAAUGCCAAUAUGGCAGGCAUUAGCAACAUGUGAUAAUUUAAAUUAAAAUUAUAUUUGUUGACAGGUGAAUGGAUAAAAAUAUGUUUAUAUAGAGAGUGGAAUAUUAUUCAGUCAUGGAAAAGAAGGAAAUGCUGACAUUUGCAACAACAUGGAAGAACGGAAGGACGUCAUGCUAAGUGAAGGAAGUGAGACCCAGAAAGACAAAUACCACAUGAUUUCACGCAUAUGCAAAAUCUACAAAAGUUGAACUCAUAAAAGCAGAGAGUAGAGCGGUGGCUGGUUAGGAAAAUGGGGAGAUGCUGAUGGAAGGGUCCAAACUUUCAGUUAUAAGGUGAGGAAGGUCUGGGGGUCUAAGAGGCCACUUAAGCAAGAUUCCUGCUCAUGGAACACUAUAUGCUAAUAAAGUUGAUAAUGAAAAUAUA
Molecule: long non-coding RNA, 425 nt
Filed under: Homo sapiens (human)
Lineage: Eukaryota; Metazoa; Chordata; Mammalia; Primates; Hominidae
Description: HSALNT0357135
Source: RNAcentral